GUGCUCGCUUCGUAGCACAUAUACUAAAAUUGGAAUGAUACAGAGAUUAGCAUGGCGCCUGCGCAAGGAUGACACGCAAAUUCGUGAAGCGUUCCAUAUUUUA
RNAcentral lists this small nuclear RNA (103 nucleotides) under Prolemur simus (greater bamboo lemur). The record is from RNAcentral. Lineage: Eukaryota; Metazoa; Chordata; Mammalia; Primates; Lemuridae.